This is a non-coding RNA of Mus musculus (house mouse), 105 nucleotides long. NCBI's taxonomy places the organism in Eukaryota, Metazoa, Chordata, Mammalia, Rodentia, Muridae. The record is from Rfam.
ACCCUUUUUGUGAUCCAUAAAUGUACUGAUUGAGUUCCCGUCUCACUGUGAGGGAUAGGCUCCUCUCAAACUGUGUUAUAAUGUCAGGACAUUACUUGUCUGACA